Molecule: ribosomal RNA, 369 nt
Filed under: uncultured bacterium
Lineage: Bacteria
Description: bacterial SSU rRNA
Rfam family: Bacterial small subunit ribosomal RNA
Source: RNAcentral
AGCGAACGUUUGCGGCGGGCCUAACACAUGCAAGUCGAACGGGUUGGCAACAACCAGUGGCGCACGGGUGCGUAACACGUAGGUAAUCUACCCUCAAGUUCGGGAUAACGAUCUGAAAGGAUCGCUAAUACCGGAUGUGUUCCGAAAGGAAGAAAGACCCGCAAGGGUCGCUAGAGGACGAGCCUGCGGCCCAUCAGCUAGUUGGUGAGGUAAUGGCUCACCAAGGCUAAGACGGGUAGCUGGUCUGAGAGGAUGAUCAGUCACACUGGAACUGAGACACGGUCCAGACUCCUACGGAGGCAGCAGUGGGGAAUAUUGCGCAAUGGCGAAAGCCUGACGCAGCCACGCCGCGUGAGCGAUGAAGGCCUC